UGGGGAAUAUUGCACAAUGGGCGCAAGCCUGAUGCAGCCAUGCCGCGUGUAUGAAGAAGGCCUUCGGGUUGUAAAGUACUUUCAGUCGGGAGGAAGGUGGUAAGGUUAAUAACCUUGGCAAUUGACGUUACCGACAGAAGAAGCACCGGCUAACUCCGUGCCAGCAGCCGCGGUAAUACGGAGGGUGCAAGCGUUAAUCGGAAUUACUGGGCGUAAAGCGCACGCAGGCGGUCUGUCAAGUCGGAUGUGAAAUCCCCGGGCUUAACCUGGGAACUGCAUUCGAAACUGGCAGGCUAGAGUCUUGUAGAGGGGGGUAGAAUUCCAGGUGUAGCGGUGAAAUGCGUAGAGAUCUGGAGGAAUACCGGUGGCGAAGGCGGCCCCCUGGACAAAGACUGACGCUCAGGUGCGAAAGCGUGGGGAGCAAACAGG
Molecule: ribosomal RNA, 429 nt
Filed under: Chloroflexota bacterium
Lineage: Bacteria; Bacillati; Chloroflexota
Description: Chloroflexi bacterium partial 16S ribosomal RNA
Rfam family: Bacterial small subunit ribosomal RNA
Source: RNAcentral